Non-coding RNA from Nothobranchius furzeri (turquoise killifish), 507 nucleotides. Lineage: Eukaryota; Metazoa; Chordata; Actinopteri; Cyprinodontiformes; Nothobranchiidae. The record is from RefSeq and is a predicted model, not a curated record.
UGGGACAUUCAGAAGCCAAGUUAUAAGCCCACAAAUGUGUAACUGGACUACUUCUUUAAAGUGCAUGUCAAGUGUGCCUCAGAGUCUUACCCCACCCACGUAUCAAUUUUGAAAACUGCAACAUUAGUAGGCGUUGCCUGGAGGACCGAGAGGGCGGAGCCGUGGCAGUGACGAAGAGACGGCUAACUAGACGAAGCUAGCUCCCUUCACUCUGAGCAGUCAUUAGAAGUGGAGGACGUUUCUCCCCCUCCUUACCCAGACACUCGAGAAGAAAGGGACCAAGUCUAUUUGGAGGAGACAAGCGGACAUGAGCCUUAUUGUUUUGAGCUUGUGAGUUGCCUGAAAUUACUGGAACCGACCCAACAGACCCAUCUCUGAACGUGAUCCUCUGGUGUCUGCAGCUGGUCUCCUGCUGAUGUCGUCGGGAUCAGGAGCUUCCAGAAGAAUGUGCCUUUCAAUGACUCUUUCCCCCUUAUUUGUUAUAUUAAUUAAAUAAAUCUCAAUUUA